Molecule: long non-coding RNA, 5058 nt
Filed under: Homo sapiens (human)
Lineage: Eukaryota; Metazoa; Chordata; Mammalia; Primates; Hominidae
Description: HSALNT0075383
Source: RNAcentral
GUGGUGCGUGCCGCUAAGUUGUGCGUUCCAGGGUGCACUCGCCGGCGAGGCUGCACGGCGCCGGUUUCAUUGCUAAAAUCCGACGGACUUGUUGCAGAACUCGUUUUUUUUGUCGGGAAAGGGCUUCCCCGUGUAACUUUACAGCAGUUAUCGUAGAUAAGACUUGCAAAUUACAGAUGUGGACGGUGAGGGAACGGGAAUUUCACUGAAAGCGCCUGAGAACCAGUAAGAGACCUGCAACAGCUUUGUGCUCCACUGGCGAAUGCUUCCUCCCCUAAUACACAUUAUGUGUGCUUGGAGACACAAGGAGUAAGAUACAGCCCCUCAAGGGACUCGUCAUAGGGAGAGGACACAGCUUUGGGAAUAAAGGGGCCACAAAGGAGGAGAGAGGAGUUUGCUGAAACUUCCCAAGCUCCCAUUCCAGCAGUUCCUGAAGGAUUCAUUUCUCUCUGAGGAUCUCAUGAGGUGGCUUAGCAGCUAGAAUCUCUUCCUUAACAGUGGGAAGAACAACUCCUGGAAAUUUAGGUCGACUUUGACUGGAUUUAAAAGAAAGCUGUACAAUUCCACUUCUGUAUAUACAACCAAAGGAAAUGAGAUGUGCAUACCCAUGUUCAAUGAAGCAUUAUUCACAAUAGCCAAAAUGUGGAACCAAUCCUUAAACAAAAGGAAAACAGAAAAUCUGCUCAAGGCACCUGAGAAAAUCACAACCCACACUUGCGAACCCCUAGGAGACCUAAAGCUGUGGUUUUACAAAUAAACAGAUAAGUAACAUUCCUACUCUUUCCUAUAGGUACUCAAUCUUCUUAACAACUCCCAUCCCACACAGGUUUGCAUCCCCAGCAGAUACAUAUGGCUAUGUGGUCACCCAUUCGAUCAGCCUAUAAAAGACUUGUCUUAUUUGAUAUUGUGAAACCCAUGGUUAUCAGUGUAUAUGAAAAUGUUUGGUUCAGGGGUCAAUGUACAAUAUGACAAGCAAAGUCCUCUAAUACACAGUUAUAUAAAAUCACUCACCUGAGAGCCAAGUGGACAAUUGGCCUUAUAUUGGCUGGAGUUGGAGCCCCAGAGGGAAAAUUUGCCUAUUAUUAGGCAACUCUUCAAAACUUUACUUAUUCGUUUCUAAACACUGUCUCAUAAAAUGGGGGAUGCUUUAGAUGAAUUAAGAUUAGCACUAGAUUACUUAUUCGUUGAAAAUUAGCACUAGAUUUCUUAUUGGUUGAACAAGGAGGAGUGUGCACCAUAAUCAAUAUAACCUGCUGCAGUUAUGUAAACACCUCAGGUCACAUAGAAGAAGAUAUACAGAAAAUACAUGAACAAGCUGUGUGGUUGCGUAAAUAUAACCAAGGCACCAAUCCCAACUGUAUCUGGUCAGCCAUUAGAAGCACCCUCCUGAGUCUCACUUGGUUGUUGCCCUUCCUAGGAACUUUGAUAGUUGUCUUAUUAUUAAUCUUUGGCCCUUGCUUGUUUAAAUUCUUGGUAAAGUUUGUGUUUUUUAGAUUACAACAAUUCCACAUAAAGAUGAUACUGACACAAAGCUUCCAAUCCAUCCCGUCUUCUGAACCGGGAAAUAAAGACACCCUGCCUUUAGGUGUCUUUAGAUCUAGAUCAGGCAUCUAGAGAUUUUUACUCCUCCAAUACUUGGCAGGGUCUAUGCCCGUAGACUCAUCAGGAUACCAUGUAAAUGAGGACCUCCCUUGGUACCCCAGAGGCCAACUGUAGACCCUUAUGAGAAAAUCCUGUCCCCAAAAUGAACAUCCACUGUCAGCAGGAAGAAGUUACAGAAGACCAGCCUUUGCCCUUACGAUUAAGGGUCCUCUUGUAAGUAGAGAGGGGAAUGUUAGGAAAGCAGGAGCCUAGGUGAUCCAGAGUGACACCAUUUUAAAAUAAACUCCACCUGAAAACUAGCAAGGCAUCUGCACACAUCUGUUUAGCAAGUAUAUACUUCUGUAACUGGAAUAAAAAGCGUUAUUUUAGAAUAUGCCUAUAGUUUGUAAUAAUUAGCCGAGGGAAAAAAAGUUCACAUUGGUGUAGGAAAAGUGCCCUAAUGGUCAUGGGUAAUAAUGGGACCGUGGUUCUGGUCAGUGAUUUGAUGGAAGGGGUGUAGAUAAUAUAUUGUUGUAAAUAAUAAAAAUAAAAAAUUGUUGUAAGUAAUAAAAAUAAAAUAAUAUUGUUGUAAGUAAUAAAGUAGGAGAAAUAUUUGGUCUUUUGCUUUUGGGUUAGUGCAACAGUAGUACCAUUACUUGGAGGAGAAGUUAGAGAAGGACAAGAAUAGGCUUGAAUAAGAUGAGUGAGAAGAGAGAAAAAUUCCGUAAGUGGAGAUGGCCAGGGAACACCAGGGCAGCAGAAUCUAACUCUGAAUUUAAUGCUGUUGUCUGUUCAUAUUGCACUGCGCUGUAAUCUCCCUAUCUUUCCUAAACCAUUGGCAAAGUCUGCUAUCCACUGGGGCCUUGGGUCGGUGGUGCUUUGGGAAAUACCAGAAGAGGGAAAGUACGGCAAAUGUGCAGUGUCACAGAUGAUAGGAGGAAAGCUGGCCAGUGGGAUGAUUAAAACAAUUUCGGUGGGAGUGGGAAUUCAGACCAUGUAAAUGGUCUGAAUUAAGAAAAUUUCAAGAAACAAAAAAUGUUUCUAAUGAGCCAAAGUGAAAGCUCUUCAUGAUUUCUUUAUAGAGGCUCUCUAGUGCUUGUCCUAAUUUCCUGAAAUCUCAUGGGUAUCUUACUCUCCUGGUGCCCGCCUCAAACAUUCACUGUAGCAAUUAUAUGAGCAGCCUAGAGAAUCCCAAUCCCAGUGGUCUUGCUCCCUGGAUCUACUUUCUCUUAAAAAUCAUUCCCCUAAGUUUCCGUCACUUGGUUGAAGUUUAGUAGAUAUCUCCACAUCUCCAGCUAGAACAGCACCAGAAUUUCAGGACUAGGGCAAUAGAGUCUGAUAUUAAAUUCUAUUUCUAUCUAUCUAUCUAUCAUCUAUCUAUCUAUCUAUCUAUCUAUCUAUCUAUCUAUCUAUCUAUCUACAGAACAAUUUGUGGGAUAGUAGCUUUGGGGUCCCAGAUCUAGGAUGGGCCUGGUCCUCCAUGCUGGUUCUCCUGGGUGAUAUUUCUGUUAGUUUGAACAGUAAUCACACUUUUAUUACUGUUUCAUCUUUUUUUUUUCACUCUUAGACUGAUUUUAUCAUGUGUAUAAAACAUACACACACCUACAUCUCAAGGAUAAACAUUAAUCCUUGAAAAAUAUGUGGUCUAAAACUAUAUUGAGGAGAGAAAGAUAGGACACUUUAAUUGCCACAUGAUUAACACGAGGUCACCACACAGCUUUCACAAAUCUACAAGUCAUUCUAUUUAGGCUGAGUCAAGUUCUCCCUUGGGCCAGCCAGAGCACAAAUAAUGGAGCAAUGUGACUCUUCAAUGACAGAUCUCUGAUUUCCAGAAAAGAGACUUUGAAAUACCCAAUUCUAGUAAAUAUGCAAUUAAAUUUCCAGCUAAAUGACCUUUGCUCCUGUAGUCUUCAUCUUGGGGAAGGGAAAGAAGUCUUAUUCUGUUUAAUAGUUUGAUUUUUAUAAUAGGGUUUGUCUCUGUUAUAAAUCUUGUUUGAUAUUUAAAAUGUUAGCUAAGAGAAAACUUCUGUUUGUUUUUAUUUAGUGGGAAGAAACUAACCCUCAUUGAGUGCCUAGUUAACAUCAGGCACUUUGUACACAUAAUCAAUUGAAUCUUGACCACAACCCUGUGAGAUCCAUGGAUGAUUCUGGGUUUAGUUCUUUGUGAGACUGCCAGAAACUCCCAGAGGCUGGAUCUAUGCAUAAAGAGAGGCCAUUGGAGAGAAUGUCUACUGAAUUGCUGAAGACAAUUGCUACCGAGAAUAGAUCGUAACUUAGGAAGAAACAAUUCAGUACCAAAAGAGUAAUUGGAGCCCUUCUGGAAAACACUAGUAAGGUGAAAAAUGAGAAGAUUAAAUAAGCCAUGGGAAGAUUUUUUAAAAUGACAUGAAACUCCAAGGGUAAAAAGUAGGAUGUUCAACAUGAUCAAUGCCAAAUAAAUAUCAGAAUACUUGGAAGUAAAGUACUAAUAGUAGGAGUUCCUGAUUAUCAGGUGCCUAUGAUGUGACAGGCACAUUGUGGCCUGUGCUCGACCAGGAGACUGGUGAGUCCUUGUGGAUUUCUUCCCUGCUCAAGUGCAUAAAGCAGGUGUAUUGCAUAGCUUUUCCAGGCUGAGAUCAAAGACGGAGAUGUGCCUACCCGCAGAUCCUAGAUGGCCAUGUUUGCAACAGAGGUAAUGAUGAGCAGUGCGAAGAUGUGACUCCAAAGCCUGGAGAAGGACAGACCAGCAUCCCUGCAAGAGAUCCAACUGUCUUCUUUUCCGCAGAGGUCCAUAAUUUACAUGGGCCUGACAAAGAAUACUGUAACUUGCAGAAAUUAUCUUCAGUUCAAAUCCUUCAUUUUGGGGGUUAAAUAACUUGCCCAAGAUGUCGAGGGAGCGGAAAUACUUGCUGGUCUUGCAGCGGCUGUGGAGCCUGGAAUCCUGCCAAGAAGAGCAUGUGUGAGAGAUCAAAAUGUUUGCUUACAUUCCUCCUGUGAAGGGAGUUGGGAAAUAACCUAAGAAGCCCAAUCCAAAAACAAAGAUGUACCAUCCAGUCUUCUCUGUGAGAACCAAACUACAAACCAUCUGAAUGUUCCAAAAGUGUUUUGAUGAUGUAUUGAUGUAUUUUAAAUUAUCCUGAAAAUGUUCUUGGCAGAUGCUUAAACAUGUAAUUACUGAGAUGAUGUAGAAAUACCAAGUGUUUAUUAAAACAAUACAGAGUAAUACAAAUGGUAUGUUUGUCGCAAUAUAAAAGUAUCUAAAAAUUAAAGAGUUCUUUAAUGGUGGAGAUUGUUUUCCUUUUUGAAGUUAAAAUAUAAAUUUUUGUAAAAAGCACAAAUUAUUACUAUUUAUAGCUAACAUUUAUGGAGUGCUGACUAUGCUCAUUUUUGAGCAUACAUUGCCUCAUUUAGUGCAAUGUUUAGCAUUAACUUAUGAGGUAAAUGCCAUUGCCAUGCACAUUGUACAGAUGAAGACAUUGAGGUUUAGAGAGAUUGCAU